GACGAACGCUGGCGGCGUGCUUAACACAUGCAAGUCGAACGGUGAAGCGCCUUCCUUUUUGGUGGGUGUGGAUGAGUGGCGAACGGGUGAGUAACACGUGAGUAACCUGCCCCCUUCUUCUGGAUAACCGCAUGAAAGUGUGGCUAAUACGGGAUAUUCUGGGUCUGUCGCAUGAUGGGUCUGGGAAAGAUAUUGUUUCGGUGGGGGAUGGGCUCGCGGCCUAUCAGCUUGUUGGUGGGGUGAUGGCCUAGCAAGGCGGUGACGGGUAGCCGGCCUGAGAGGGUGGACGGCCACACUGGGAGUGAGACACGGCCGGGACUGCGACGGGGGGCAGCAGUGGAGGAGAUUGCACAAUGGGCGCAAGCCUGAUGCAGCGACGCCGCGUGAGGGAUGGAGGCCUUCGGGUUGUGAACCUCUUUCGCCAGUGAAGCAGGCCUGCCUCGUUUGUGGGUGGGUUGACGGUAGCUGGAAAAGAAGCGCCGGCUAACUACGUG
This 494-nucleotide ribosomal RNA is filed under the name uncultured bacterium. RNAcentral describes it as "partial 16S ribosomal RNA". It matches the Rfam family "Bacterial small subunit ribosomal RNA", at positions 28 to 507 of the family's 1533-position model. The record is from RNAcentral.